CGCUAGCUACAGGCUUAACACAUGCAAGUCGAGGGGCAUCAGGAAGAAAGCUUGCUUUCUUUGCUGGCGACCGGCGCACGGGUGAGUAACACGUAUCCAACCUGCCCUUUACUCGGGGAUAGCCUUUCGAAAGAAAGAUUAAUGCCCGAUAGCAUAAUGAUUCCGCAUGGUUUCAUUAUUAAAGGAUUCCGGUAAAGGAUGGGGAUGCGUUCCAUUAGGUUGUUGGUGAGGUAACGACCCACCAAGCCUUCGAUGGAUAGGGGUUCUGAGAGGAAGGUCCCCCACAUUGGAACUGAGACACGGUCCAAACUCCUACGGGAGGCAGCAGUGAGGAAUAUUGGUCAAUGGGCGCUAGCCUGAACCAGCCAAGUAGCGUGAAGGAUGAAGGCUCUAUGGGUCGUAAACUUCUUUUAUAUAAGAAUAAAGUGCAGUAUGUAUACUGUUUUGUAUGUAUUAUAUGAAUAAGGAUCGGCUAACUCCGUGCCAGCAGCCGCGGUAAUACGGAGGAUCCGAGCGUUAUCCGGAUUUAUUGGGUUUAAAGGGAGCGUAGGUGGACUGGUAAGUCAGUUGUGAAAGUUUGCGGCUCAACCGUAAAAUUGCAGUUGAUACUGUCAGUCUUGAGUACAGUAGAGGUGGGCGGAAUUCGUGGUGUAGCGGUGAAAUGCUUAGAUAUCACGAAGAACUCCGAUUGCGAAGGCAGCUCACUGGACUGCAACUGACACUGAUGCUCGAAAGUGUGGGUAUCAAACAGGAUUAGAUACCCUGGUAGUCCACACAGUAAACGAUGAAUACUCGCUGUUUGCGAUAUACAGUAAGCGGCCAAGCGAAAGCAUUAAGUAUUCCACCUGGGGAGUACGCCGGCAACGGUGAAACUCAAAGGAAUUGACGGGGGCCCGCACAAGCGGAGGAACAUGUGGUUUAAUUCGAUGAUACGCGAGGAACCUUACCCGGGCUUAAAUUGCAGUGGAAUGAUGUGGAAACAUGUCAGUGAGCAAUCACCGCUGUGAAGGUGCUGCAUGGUUGUCGUCAGCUCGUGCCGUGAGGUGUCGGCUUAAGUGCCAUAACGAGCGCAACCCUUAUCUUUAGUUACUAACAGGUUAUGCUGAGGACUCUAGAGAGACUGCCGUCGUAAGAUGUGAGGAAGGUGGGGAUGACGUCAAAUCAGCACGGCCCUUACGUCCGGGGCUACACACGUGUUACAAUGGGGGGUACAGAAGGCAGCUAGCGGGUGACCGUAUGCUAAUCCCAAAAUCCUCUCUCAGUUCGGAUCGAAGUCUGCAACCCGACUUCGUGAAGCUGGAUUCGCUAGUAAUCGCGCAUCAGCCACGGCGCGGUGAAUACGUUCCCGGGCCUUGUACACACCGCCCGUCAAGCCAUGGGAGCCGGGGGUACCUGAAGUACGUAACCGCAAGGAUCGUCCUAGGGUAAAACUGGUGACUGGGGCU
RNAcentral lists this ribosomal RNA (1445 nucleotides) under uncultured organism. RNAcentral's name for it is "SSU rRNA". It matches the Rfam family "Bacterial small subunit ribosomal RNA". The record is from RNAcentral.